This 430-nucleotide ribosomal RNA is filed under the name Pseudomonadota bacterium. RNAcentral describes it as "Proteobacteria bacterium partial 16S ribosomal RNA". It matches the Rfam family "Bacterial small subunit ribosomal RNA", at positions 355 to 776 of the family's 1533-position model. Lineage: Bacteria; Pseudomonadati; Pseudomonadota. The record is from RNAcentral.
UGGGGAUUAUUGGACAAUGGGGGGAACCCUGAUCCAGCCAUGCCGCGUGGGUGAAGAAGGCUUUAUGGUGGUAAAGCAUUUUAAGCGAGGAGGAGGUUACUGGUAUUAAUACUACCAGCUACCGGACGUUACCCGCAGAACAAGCACGGGCAAACUCUGUGCCAGCAGCUGCGGAAAUACAGAGGGUGCAAGCGUUACUCGGAAUUACUGGGCGUAAAGCGCGCCUAGGUGGUUCGUUAAGUUGAAUGUGAAAGCCCCGGGCUCAACCUGGGAACUGCAUCCAAAACUGGCGAGCUAGAGUAGGGCAGAGGGUGGUGGAAUUUCCUGUGUAGCGGUGAAAUGCGUAGAUAUAGGAAGGAACAACAGUGGCGAAGGCGACCACCUGGGCUCAUACUGACACUGAGGUGCGAAAGCGUGGGGCGCAAACAGG